This 1102-nucleotide long non-coding RNA is filed under the name Equus asinus (donkey). RNAcentral describes it as "lncRNA (ENSEASG00005030212.1)". The record is from RNAcentral. Lineage: Eukaryota; Metazoa; Chordata; Mammalia; Perissodactyla; Equidae.
GGCAUACGAUGAAAUGAUAUACACAAUGGUAUUAUAAAGGCAGAAAGUGAAGUUUCCAAUUUUCUUGGUCUAGGCAAUAUCGAUAACCAGUGUUAUGGUGAAUCCAUUAAUAUGAAAAGGAUUCUAGAAGAAGAAGACAUUUUGUGUGGGUAAGGAAACAAAAGAAUGACUUGUGACAUCUUACUUAGAAGAAAAUAUCAGGGGCUGGCGGUGUUGCAGCUGUUAAAUUUGCACGUUCCACUUCGGUGGCCUGAGGUUUGCUGGUUCGGAUCCUGGGUGAGGACAUGGCACCGCUUGGUAAGCCAUGCUGUGGUAGGCGUCCCACAUAUGAAGUAGAGAAAGAUGGGCACAGAUGUUAGCUCAGGGCCAGUCUUCCUCAGCUAAAAAAAAAGAGGAUUGGCAGCAGAUGUUAGCUCAGGGCUAAUCUUCCUCAAAAAAAAAGAAAUCAGUGCCUCAUCUGGACGGACUACUUCUGACUUUGUCACACCCCUUGCCAGCUCUGCUUCAAUCAUACUGGCCUUCUGAUACUCAGACAUGCCCAAGUUUAUUCCUGCCUUAGUCUCUUUGCACUAGCUCUAGCUUCUGCUUGGAAUAUUCUUCCCCUGGGCAAGCUGGCUGCUUCACUGCUUAAAUGUGUCACUUCCUCCGAUACCUGACUACCCAGUCUAUAACUAGUCAGUUCCUCUCACACGACUCUAUUCUAAGUAUCUUGCAAAUUACUUCUCACAUCCCCCUCCCACACACACUUAUUUGCCACAACUCCUGGAAUUUAAGUUCCAUAUCAACAGGGAUCUUGUCUGUCUUGUCUAUUGCUGUACAGCUCAUAGAAAAGUUCCCCGUACCCAGAAGACAUUUAAAUGUAGGCCCUUAAAUAAGAAUGAAUGAACAGAACUUUUCACAGCCAUUCUGAGGGAAGGUCUGCCCAAUGGAAGACAUGGGUCAGGAAAUGCACCAGUGUACUUAUAUUAACAAGUAUGGGGCCAGAUGUUAGAUGAGAUGUCUAUUCCUUGCGAAUCAGAUGAAAUUGCCUUGAACUCCAUCUCAUGUGUGUUGGACAAAUCUUCAUCACUGAGGAUUUAGAAGGGAAGUUGUCGGCCUUAAG